AGGAUUAGAUACCCUGGUAGUNCACGCCGUAAACGAUGUCGACUUGGAGGUUGUGCCCUUGAGGCGUGGCUUCCGGAGCUAACGCGUUAAGUCGACCGCCUGGGGAGUACGGCCGCAAGGUUAAAACUCAAAUGAAUUGACGGGGGCCCGCACAAGCGGUGGAGCAUGUGGUUUAAUUCGAUGCAACGCGAAGAACCUUACCUACUCUUGACAUCCAGAGAACUUAGCAGAGAUGCUUUGGUGCCUUCGGGAACUCUGAGACAGGUGCUGCAUGGCUGUCGUCAGCUCGUGUUGUGAAAUGUUGGGUUAAGUCCCGCAACGAGCGCAACCCUUAUCCUUUGUUGCCAGCGGUCCGGCCGGGAACUCAAAGGAGACUGCCAGUGAUAAACUGGAGGAAGGUGGGGAUGACGUCAAGUCAUCAUGGCCCUUACGAGUAGGGCUACACACGUGCUACAAUGGCAUAUACAAAGAGAAGCGACCUCGCGAGAGCAAGCGGACCUCAUAAAGUAUGUCGUAGUCCGGAUUGGAGUCUGCAACUCGACUCCAUGAAGUCGGAAUCGCUAGUAAUCGUAGAUCAGAAUGCUACGGUGAAUACGUUCCCGGGCCUUGUACACACCGCCCGUCACACCAUGGGAGUGGGUUGCAAAAGAAGUAGGUAGCUUAACCUUCGGGAGGGCGCUUACCACUUUGUGAUUCAUGACUGGGGUGAAGUCGUAACAAGGUA
This 724-nucleotide ribosomal RNA is filed under the name Klebsiella sp. RNAcentral's name for it is "bacterial SSU rRNA". It matches the Rfam family "Bacterial small subunit ribosomal RNA", at positions 774 to 1498 of the family's 1533-position model. Lineage: Bacteria; Pseudomonadati; Pseudomonadota; Gammaproteobacteria; Enterobacterales; Enterobacteriaceae. The record is from RNAcentral.